Molecule: ribosomal RNA, 967 nt
Filed under: Crocidura fuliginosa (Southeast Asian shrew)
Lineage: Eukaryota; Metazoa; Chordata; Mammalia; Eulipotyphla; Soricidae
Description: partial 16S ribosomal RNA
Rfam family: Bacterial large subunit ribosomal RNA
Source: RNAcentral
AAUUUUAAUGUAAGCUUAAAUGUUAAUCUGCAGAGGUACAGCUCUGCAGAACAAGAUUACAACCUUAAUUAGCGAGUAAAUUUAUUUAAUUACCAUAGUUGGCCUAAAAGCAGCCAUCAAUUAAGAAAGCGUUCAAGCUCAACAGUAAAAUUUAUAUUUAAUCCAAAAAAUUAAUUACAUAAACUCCUAAUAUGACUACUGGAUUAUUCUACCUAUCUGUAGAAGAAAUACUGUUAAAAUGAGUAACAAGAUUUUUAUCUCCAUACACACGUGUAUAUCAGCCCGAAUCCUAACUGAUAGUUAACAAUUAGAUAAAUCUAUUCAUCAAAUUAAUAAUUUAUCACAACAUUGUUAAUCCAACACCGGAGUGAAUAUAAGGAAAGAUUAAAAAAAGUAAAAGGAACUCGGCAAACAUAAACCCCGCCUGUUUACCAAAAACAUCACCUCUAGCAUUAUUAGUAUUAGAGGCACUGCCUGCCCAGUGACAUUAGUUUAACGGCCGCGGUAUCCUGACCGUGCAAAGGUAGCAUAAUCAUUUGUUCCUUAAUUAGGGACUUGUAUGAAUGGCCACACGAGGGUUUAACUGUCUCUUACUUUUAAUCAGUGAAAUUGACCCUCCCGUGAAGAGGCGGGAAUAAAAAAAUAAGACGAGAAGACCCUAUGGAGCUUAAAUUUAAGUGUUCAACAAAAUUCAAACUUAAUCCAACAGGAAUAAUCUUAUUUUAACUGAACAACAAAUUUUGGUUGGGGUGACCUCGGAGUAUAAUAAAACCUCCGAGUAAUUUUAACUAAGACUUACCUGUCAAAGUGAUAUAACUUAUUGAUCCAAUCAAAUUGAUCAACGAAACAAGUUACCCUAGGGAUAACAGCGCAAUCCUAUUUGAGAGUUCAUAUCGACAAUAGGGUUUACGACCUCGAUGUUGGAUCAGGACACCCAAAUGGUGCAGCAGCUAUUAAAGGUUCGUUU